RNAcentral lists this ribosomal RNA (253 nucleotides) under uncultured prokaryote. Its description in RNAcentral is "partial 16S ribosomal RNA". It matches the Rfam family "Bacterial small subunit ribosomal RNA", at positions 525 to 777 of the family's 1533-position model. The record is from RNAcentral.
ACGUAGGGAGCGAGCGUUGUCCGGAAUUACUGGGCGUAAAGAGCUCGUAGGCGGGACCGUAAGUCCGAGAGGAAAUCUCAAGGCUCAACUUUGGGGCUUUCUUGGAUACUGCGGUUCUUGAGGAUGAGAGAGGUAAGCAGAAUUCCCGGUGUAGCGGUGAAAUGCGUAGAUAUCGGGAGGAAUACCAGUGGCGAAGGCGGCUUACUGGCUCAUUCCUGACGCUGAGGAGCGAAAGCGUGGGGAGCAAACGGGA